GCUGGGUGUGGUGGUGCACGCCUGUAAUCACAGCUACUUAGAAUGCUGAGGUAGGAGGAUCAUGAGUUCAAAGCCAGCCUCAGCAAAAACAAGGCACUAAGCAACUCAGUGAGACCCUGUCUCUA
This 125-nucleotide small RNA is filed under the name Marmota monax (woodchuck). Lineage: Eukaryota; Metazoa; Chordata; Mammalia; Rodentia; Sciuridae. The record is from RNAcentral.